CGGCAACUGUGCAAGUUGCAUUUGGUCAUGGUCAAGCAUCAAAUUUCAUGAGAUCACAUGCCCCUCCCAAUAGCAGUGCAGCAGAUUU
Long non-coding RNA from Telopea speciosissima, 88 nucleotides. RefSeq lists it as uncharacterized. Lineage: Eukaryota; Viridiplantae; Streptophyta; Magnoliopsida; Proteales; Proteaceae. The record is from RefSeq and is a predicted model, not a curated record. The transcript is spliced from 3 exons.